RNAcentral lists this ribosomal RNA (525 nucleotides) under Delftia sp. aer2. RNAcentral's name for it is "bacterial SSU rRNA". It matches the Rfam family "Bacterial small subunit ribosomal RNA", at positions 74 to 596 of the family's 1533-position model. Lineage: Bacteria; Pseudomonadati; Pseudomonadota; Betaproteobacteria; Burkholderiales; Comamonadaceae. The record is from RNAcentral.
AGGUCUUCGGACGCUGACGAGUGGCGAACGGGUGAGUAAUACAUCGGAACGUGCCCAGUCGUGGGGGAUAACUACUCGAAAGAGUAGCUAAUACCGCAUACGAUCUGAGGAUGAAAGCGGGGGACCUUCGGGCCUCGCGCGAUUGGAGCGGCCGAUGGCAGAUUAGGUAGUUGGUGGGAUAAAAGCUUACCAAGCCGACGAUCUGUAGCUGGUCUGAGAGGACGACCAGCCACACUGGGACUGAGACACGGCCCAGACUCCUACGGGAGGCAGCAGUGGGGAAUUUUGGACAAUGGGCGAAAGCCUGAUCCAGCAAUGCCGCGUGCAGGAUGAAGGCCUUCGGGUUGUAAACUGCUUUUGUACGGAACGAAAAAGCUCCUUCUAAUACAGGGGGCCCAUGACGGUACCGUAAGAAUAAGCACCGGCUAACUACGUGCCAGCAGCCGCGGUAAUACGUAGGGUGCGAGCGUUAAUCGGAAUUACUGGGCGUAAAGCGUGCGCAGGCGGUUAUGUAAGACAGAUGUG